Molecule: long non-coding RNA, 1425 nt
Filed under: Prunus persica (peach)
Lineage: Eukaryota; Viridiplantae; Streptophyta; Magnoliopsida; Rosales; Rosaceae
Description: long non-coding RNA (PPER_LNC001746)
Source: RNAcentral
CUAGUUUGGUGAUAAACAAGAGUCAUACGAGCUCACUUGGGUAAUGCAUGCCAAGUGUUUGUCAAAAUAUCUCAAAGUAGCUUGCUGGCUAUUUUUUGAACUUUUGAAAUGUUUCUUUUCGCAUCUGAGUUGGAGCUUUUGAGACAUGAAAAUGGACUUCUCAAUGGUUAUGUUGGAAUUGGUUUUGCGUCACUUGAAGCAAAAAUGAAUUUUCAAUGGAAUUUCAAAGUAAGGGUUAAGCUGCUGGAGCUGUGCAGUUCCUGCUGUAUGGGCUGUUUCAGGAAUCUGUUUGACAUGCUUUCCUAGCUCUAAAUUCAAUGAAAUUUUGGGAAAAUGAAGCUUGAUAUGUCUAGUUCUCGAAUCUGGAAAGUUUGGGAGUUGUUGGUUGUAAACUUGAUUUCUAGUGAUUUUCUAAAUGUGGGAGGUUUCAGCUAGAAUGGUUGAAAAACUUGUGUAUAAGUUUUUCUUGGCAUGUUGCUUUUGUUUGAGAAUUUAGCAUGUCCUUUCUCUUGGAAUUGAGUGCUGAUCUGGGCAUUGCUAGAGCAUGAUCUUGAGUAAUAUUGUCGUGAGAGCAUGAUAUUGUAUGGCUUCGUCGCAAGGGCAUGAGAUAUUCAAUUUGCUUGAAAUGCCUGAGUUGCUUGGAAUGCUUGAAUGAAAUGAAAUUUCUUGGCAUGUGGAUUGGUAUUACGCCCUGUGAAUUUGUCAAAUGCUUGACAAAUGAGUUUGUUGAAUUGUUGCAAGGAUAAAUUGAGCUUUGGGGGGUUAAAGAGCAUAUACACUGGCAUGAUGUUUGAAAUAAGGAAAGGGCUAAGAAGAUUUGAAAUAAGGCAAGUGCCAGAAAUUCUUUGCUUGUAGAGUAGGAGCUGGAAGAAUUUAACUUGGCUUAGAAUGAUAUAGCUUGGACUUGCUAUGAGGAUGUGAAUAAUGUUCACACAGCUCUUGGAACUGAGGUAUAGCUUGGUUUAACAUGAGAAACUCUGAGAUGCCUAUGCUUGACUCUUUUUUUUUUUUUUUUACAAAUUUGCUUGGCAUGAAGCCCCCAAGUAUUUUGGAGUUUGCAUGUGUAGUUAGCUUAAUGGCAUGAAUGAUGAAUUUGCCUAGGCCCCCAGUCCUCGUACAAGAUUUGGUUUUGCUUGAGAAUGGAGAUCUAAGACACAAAUAAAGGGAGCAUGUGAGUAAUCUAUAUCAUGUUUGUUCUGCAAAGUAGAUAGCCAACAAAAGGAAAAAAAAGAAAGAAAGAGGGAAUGUUCUUAUCUCUUUCUUUUCUCUAGUUUAUUGCUUCUGAUUGGAGGUAUUGGUGAAGAUAGUGGCCUAAUCCCCAGCAUAGUUGCCAAUUUAUGUAGGGGUCUUUUUAUUCCAACAGCCUGACGAAUGAGCUUAGGCUGCCGAAAAAGAGAAACAGGUGAAGCUGCCCCUGUGUCUGAG